This 71-nucleotide transfer RNA is filed under the name Chloroflexota bacterium. RNAcentral describes it as "tRNA-Lys". Lineage: Bacteria; Bacillati; Chloroflexota. RNAcentral also lists the same sequence under 1 other name. The record is from RNAcentral.
UGGACGUUGGUGAACAGGCCCAUGCAAGACUUUUAAUCCGGGUGUCGCGAGUUCGAGCCUCGCACGGCCCA